GUUUACCAAAACAGUCCAACCAUACCUAAUCACAGAUUAUUCCUUCAAGAGAAACUAUACUUAUUUGUUGUUACAUUUAGGUCAAUGUUUAAUAGGUACUUUUCCACUCAGCAUGUUAUAUUGUGCUUUUUAUAUAAAAAUAACAGUGUCACUGGUUAAUCUGCAAAAUGUGCUAUUUACUAAAGAAGAAUUUAAAGUGAUUUUCAAAUUUAAAGCCCUAACCCCCCUCUCCCCCUCCAAAAAAAAAUUUGUAUUUCAUAAAUAUAGAGUCUUUACUAAAAUGGCGGCAGCACCCCCGAGGGACAGGUCCAAGUAAAAAAAUCUCACCUUUACCACCCCCAGCCACCAGAACCCCAGCGGCAAUGUUACCGUCAUGGAUCUUUGUGAAUUCUGCAAAGUCCCGAGACGGUGACAGUGCCGCUUUAAGGCCACAAUAGCUGAAUGGAAAGCAUGGCUGAUUUAGAGAAAUUUGUAAUUUUUGAAAAAUGUUUUUCAUUUUUGGCUAUUUUGACCUUAAAUUCCUAAUUCACCUUGAAUUCUUACUUUACUGACUAACCCGUAUAGUUUUUAUGAGCAGAGCACACGUAUUGACUCCUGUACCUUUGAAAAGGUGCAUGUGACCCUUUGAAUCUAUAUUCUAGCACACAAACUACUUUUUUAUGAUCAAAAAUUGAUCCAGCACUCUUGCUAGAAAUAAGAAUUUGACAAUAUUUUGCAUUUGAUUCUGUGUUCAGGGUGACACCAUUGUCUUGUGAUUCUAUGAUGUUCUGGGGUUCUCACACAUGCCACAUGGGCGGUUCCACCCUCAGACAUUCCUUUAGUAGUGUCACAGGUGGUUAUUAUGCAGCCAGGUGGAAUUGGAAUUGUAAACACAGCCGUAAGCACCAUGGUAAAAUUAGAUUUCACAAUGUAUGGAUGAGGCUAUUAUGAACAUACAGGACCGGUUUAGGGGGAAAAAAGUGCUCUAUGUUUUGCUUUCUAUCCUAACCUGACCAACAUAUCAACAGGGGUUACCAUAAUACUGCUAAUGUAAAAUAAUGUUGUUUUAUUUCAGAAGUAGAAUUAACUAAAUUGAACUUUAGACAUUUUAGGUGGGAAGGAAACAUCAAUUUAUUCAAUAGGAGAAAACGCAACUCACCGUUUAAGAACCAUUUUGUUACUAUUAACCUGACAGUUCAAUCUGUGCCAUUUCAACGUUAUAAGGAAUCCAUAUAUUCUGUUAUCACUUGCUUCUGCUAUUUAUGGUGAUUAUAUAUCAUUUGUAUUUAGAUGCUUUCCUGAGGAAGUAAUACCAUGCCAUUUUCCUCAUGGAGGUCAUUAACUGUAGGCAUCUAUUCAGGACUUUUUCUUUAAAUGCUUGAUAAUAGCAUUUUUAUUUAUUUGCAGAGGGAGUUCGUGAAAGAUGUAUCCUCUUACUCCUGAGUGUUCAUCAAAUCAUUAAGCAGCCAAGAAACUGGAAAUUGGGGCUACUAGGGGCACCUGAGAAGGCUGUGCCAAUUGGCACACAAUAUAUAAUUCUGGGCAUGGCUGUAUUGCACUAUUAAAAACUUUAGAGCCCUUCAGGACACAUUUUUUUAAAUUGUUUUAUAAGUGUUUCAAAUUAAUAAUGUAGCCAUAAUCAUAAGCAAUGAGCAUGUCUGUUUCUGCAUAUGAACUGAAUAAUUCUAACCUGGAACACAGAGCAUUCGAUAAGCAGUUUUCAUUACUUCAAAUAAACAACAUGAGGAGUAAAUGAUAAGAAAGCAAAUACACUACACAAACACUUAAAAUGGUACAAAAAUGUAUAAAAAUAGUAAAACAUAAAACUACUCUACUGUACACUGCAAUAGGGUUAAAGGCACAAAACAACAGUUUCCCUUAAACAAAACAAAAAUGGUCUCCAUCCAAUACAAACUUUAGACACAUACAUAUCCAGCUACUAUCAGUUGAUCACAUGGUUUGUUUUUUUCCAGUAAAUAGUCAUCUGAAGCA
Molecule: long non-coding RNA, 1971 nt
Filed under: Pelobates cultripes (western spadefoot toad)
Lineage: Eukaryota; Metazoa; Chordata; Amphibia; Anura; Pelobatidae
Source: RNAcentral